UCACCGGAGUACUACAAGCGCUAGCUUACCACCCAAAGGACUUGGCGGUAUCCCAUACCCACCUAGAGGAGCCUGUUCUAUAACCGAUAAUCCUCGUUAAACCUCACCACUUCUUGCCAUUACCGCCUAUAUACCGCCGUCGUCAGCUUACCUUAUGAAAGACAAAAAGUAAGCACAAAGAAUUCCAAUUUCCAUACGUCAGGUCAAGGUGUAGCGAAUGAAGUGGAAAGAAAUGGGCUACAUUUUUUAACCAAAAAACACGGACAGUAAACUGAAAAAUUGCUUAAAGGUGGAUUUAGCAGUAGGAGAAUACUAAAAUACUUCCCUGAAACCGGCCCUGGGAUGCGCACACACCGCCCGUCACC
This 365-nucleotide ribosomal RNA is filed under the name Rhincodon typus (whale shark). RNAcentral's name for it is "partial small subunit ribosomal RNA". It matches the Rfam family "Bacterial small subunit ribosomal RNA", at positions 869 to 1401 of the family's 1533-position model. The record is from RNAcentral. Lineage: Eukaryota; Metazoa; Chordata; Chondrichthyes; Orectolobiformes; Rhincodontidae.